Molecule: ribosomal RNA, 467 nt
Filed under: uncultured bacterium
Lineage: Bacteria
Description: bacterial SSU rRNA
Rfam family: Bacterial small subunit ribosomal RNA
Source: RNAcentral
UUUCCAGACUCCUACGGGAGGCAGCAGUGAGGAAUAUUGGUCAAUGGCCGAGAGGCUGAACCAGCCAAGUCGCGUGAGGGAUGACGGCCCUACGGGUUGUAAACCUCUUUUGUCGGGGAGCAAAGAGAGUCACGUGUGGCUCAUUGAGAGUACCCGAAGAAAAAGCAUCGGCUAACUCCGUGCCAGCAGCCGCGGUAAUACGGAGGAUGCGAGCGUUAUCCGGAUUUAUUGGGUUUAAAGGGAGCGUAGGCCGGUCUUUAAGCGUGCCGUGAAAUUUUGUGGCUCAACCAUGAGAGUGCGGCGCGAACUGGAGACCUUGAGUGCGCGGAAGGCAGGCGGAAUUCGUGGUGUAGCGGUGAAAUGCUUAGAUAUCACGAAGAACCCCGAUUGCGAAGGCAGCCUGCCGCAGCGUUACUGACGCUGAAGCUCGAAAGCGCGGGUAUCGAACAGGAUUAGAUACCCUAGUA